RNAcentral lists this ribosomal RNA (497 nucleotides) under uncultured bacterium. RNAcentral describes it as "partial 16S ribosomal RNA". It matches the Rfam family "Bacterial small subunit ribosomal RNA", at positions 28 to 507 of the family's 1533-position model. The record is from RNAcentral.
GAUGAACGCUGGCGGCGUGCCUAAUACAUGCAAGUCGAGCGAACAGACGCGGAGCUUGCUCCCCUGACGUUAGCGGCGGACGGGUGAGUAACACGUGGAUAACCUACCUAUAAGACUGGGAUAACUUCGGGAAACCGGAGCUAAUACCGGGUAAUAUAUUGAACCGCAUGGUUCAAUAGUGUAAGACGGUUUUGCUGUCACUUAUAGAUGGAUCCGCGCCGCAUUAGCAAGUUGGUAAGGUAACGGCUUACCAAGGCAACGAUGCGUAGCCGACCUGAGAGGGUGAUCGACCACACGGGAACUGAGACUCGGUCCAGACUCCGACGGGAGGCAGCAGUAGGGAAUCUUCCGCGAUGGGCGAAAGCGUGACAGAGCAACGCCGCGUGAGUGAUGAUGGUCUUCGGAUCGUAGAGCUCUGAUAGUAGGGAAGAACAAAUGUGUAAGUAACUAUGCACGUCUUGACGGUACCUAAUCAGAAAGCCACGGCUAACUACGUG